This 554-nucleotide ribosomal RNA is filed under the name uncultured bacterium. RNAcentral's name for it is "bacterial SSU rRNA". It matches the Rfam family "Bacterial small subunit ribosomal RNA", at positions 777 to 1345 of the family's 1533-position model. The record is from RNAcentral.
AAUAGAUACCCCGGUAGUCCACGCCGUAAACGAUGGAUGCUAGCUGUUAUGCGUAUCGACCCGUGUAGUAGCGAAGCUAACGCGUUAAGCAUCCCGCCUGGGGAGUACGAACGCAAGUUUAAAACUCAAAGGAAUUGACGGGGACCCGCACAAGCGGUGGAGCGUGUUCUUUAAUUCGAGGCUAAGCGAAGAACCUUACCAGGGCUUGACAUCCUUGGAAUUUCUCCGAAAGGAGAGAGUACUUUAUUGGACCAAGUGACAGGUGCUGCAUGGCCGUCGUCAGCUCGUGUCGUGAGAUGUUUGGUUAAGUCCAUUAACGAGCGCAACCCUUAUGAAUAGUUGUAUUUUUCUAUUCAGACUGCCCGGUAACGGGGAGGAAGGGGGGGAUGAUGUCAGGUCAGUAUUGCCCUUACGCCCUGGGCUAGAAACGCGCUACAAUGGCCGGUACAAUGCGCUGCCAACCCGCGAGGGGGAGCAAAUCGCAUCAAAGCCGGUCCCAGUUCGGAUAAGAGGCUGAAACUCGCCUCUUUGAAGCCGGAAUCGCUAGUAAUCGU